This 122-nucleotide small RNA is filed under the name Fulvimarina manganoxydans. Its description in RNAcentral is "Rhizobiales bacterium 8.047 Alphaproteobacterial ar14". It matches the Rfam family "Alphaproteobacterial ar14". Rfam says of the family: Smr14C2 was renamed NfeR1 (Nodule Formation Efficiency RNA) highly expressed in salt stress and during the symbiotic interaction on legume roots. The record is from Rfam by way of RNAcentral. Lineage: Bacteria; Pseudomonadati; Pseudomonadota; Alphaproteobacteria; Hyphomicrobiales; Aurantimonadaceae.
AAGUUUUGCCGAGGACCUCCUCCUCCCAAUCCUCGGCGAAUAGGAGCCUGCAACUCCUCCUCCCAAAUGCAGGCUUCACUCAAACGACACCCGCCGGUUCCUCCCACCGGCGGGUGUUGUCG